CCAUGCAAGUCGAGGGGCAGCAUAGAGUAGCAAUACUUUGAUGGCGACCGGCGCACGGGUGAGUAACACGUAUGCAACCUACCUACAUCAGGGGAAUAACGGAGAAAUUCGGACUAAUACCGCAUAAUACAGGGAUGCCGCAUGGCAAUAUUUGUUAAAGAUUUAUCGGAUGUAGAUGGGCAUGCGUUCCAUUAGCUAGUUGGUAAGGUAACGGCUUACCAAGGCAACGAUGGAUAGGGGAACUGAGAGGUUUGUCCCCCACACUGGAACUGAGACACGG
RNAcentral lists this ribosomal RNA (280 nucleotides) under uncultured Dysgonomonas sp. RNAcentral describes it as "partial 16S ribosomal RNA". It matches the Rfam family "Bacterial small subunit ribosomal RNA", at positions 54 to 329 of the family's 1533-position model. Lineage: Bacteria; Pseudomonadati; Bacteroidota; Bacteroidia; Bacteroidales; Dysgonomonadaceae. The record is from RNAcentral.